This 897-nucleotide small RNA is filed under the name uncultured fungus. RNAcentral's name for it is "eukaryotic LSU rRNA". The stretch from base 464 to 897 matches the Rfam family "Eukaryotic large subunit ribosomal RNA", at positions 1 to 429 of the family's 3401-position model. Lineage: Eukaryota; Fungi. The record is from RNAcentral.
UCCGUAGGUGAACCUGCGGAAGGAUCAUUAAUAGUGCCCUCUGAUGCAAAUCAUUGGGUUAGAUCUGCUCUCUUCGCAAGAAGAGGGUUUCCAUACACACCGUGAACUGUGGCUUCGGCCAUCACAAACUGUUAUUAAUGAAUGUAAUAUCAUAACAAAAACAAAACUUUUAACAACGGAUCUCUUGGCUCUCGCAUCGAUGAAGAGCGCAGCGAAAUGCGAUAAGUAAUGUGAAUUGCAGAAUUCAGUGAAUCAUCGAAUCUUUGAACGCACCUUGCGCCCUUUGGUAUUCCGAAGGGCAUGCCUGUUUGAGUGUCAUGAAACCUCACCCCACUUGGGUUUUUGCCUGAGCGGUGGUGUAUUGGGUAUUGCCUUGCUAAAGGCUCGCCUUAAAGACAUAAGCACCUUGGAUGUAAUACGUUUCAUCCUUCUGGGUGGCUGAUAACCCCACAUAUUCAUGAUCUGGCCUCAAAUCAGGUAGGGCUACCCGCUGAACUUAAGCAUAUCAAUAAGCGGAGGAAAAGAAACUAACUAGGAUUCCCUUAGUAACGGCGAGUGAACCGGGAUGAGCUCAAAUUUAAAAUCUGGCGUCUUUCAGGCGUCCGAGUUGUAAUCUAUAGAGGCGUUUUCCGCGCCGGACCGCGUCCAAGUCUCUUGGAAUAGAGUAUCAAAGAGGGUGACAAUCCCGUACUUGACGCGACAACCGGUGCUCUGUGAUACGUUCUCAAUGAGUCGAGUUGUUUGGGAAUGCAGCUCUAAAUGGGUGGUAAAUUCCAUCUAAGGCUAAAUAUUGGCGAGAGACCGAUAGCGAACAAGUACCGUGAGGGAAAGAUGAAAAGCACUUUGGAAAGAGAGUUAAACAGCACGUGAAAUUGUUAAAAGGGAAACGCUUGAAGU